UCGUCGGGAGCACGUCCGCUGUUUCCUAUUAUUGUGCUGUUUUUUUAGUACUUUCCUGUCUACGGAAAACUACAGAAGUGAAGUAGUGAAUUUUAUUACUUGUGGAACCAUGGAUUGGAUUUGGGCUGUUUAGUGGACGGUCUUCGUAAAGCUUGGUGGUUUUAAUGGACGGUAUUUCGGUGCAACCUUACUUCCUCAAGAGGCAGGUAAAAUUUUAUAUUAUAACCGAAGACUAAAUUCACUAUCGACGGAAACUGUUCUCAAACUGCAGAAAGAAAAUGGGCUUCCCUUCUCAGGACGUUGACUUUAACAGGAUUACUUUACUUUACUCCAUUCCAAUCCUGUAUAUGGUGCUUUAACCCCAGAAUAGUGUUUAGAGGUGAGAAUUAAUACCUGGAUUUGCUGGAAAUACCCGAGUUGCCUUCAACUGAUGGCUCAAGAUGUAAUGGGUAUAACACUUCAAUAAAUGAUGCACAUAUACUAUUCAUAGCAAUGAUGUAAUAGAAAUUACUGCAAUUAACUUAGUAUAGCAUCCUAGUCUUUCACCAAUGAUUGCAAACUGGUAAGCUGUGUAACUACCUUCAUCAGGUAGGUUUUCAAACCCACAGGGUUUAAAAAUACCGGUAUGGUUAUUUUUUUGCUUAUAAACAACCAGAAGUUUAAUAGUAUGUAUCAUGGCUUGGUAAUAUUUAAUGGAAUAUGGUAAUAUUUAAUUAUUUUCUUUUAAUACCUUGGGUUUAUGAUCUGUGAUUAGUUUAUGGUAAUUGACUGAAAUAAAAGUAUUUUUUCCAGAAAGGAAUUUCAUACUAAAGGUUUUUAGUAAUUUUAUUAAAUGUAGAUUGAAAUUUACAAUAUUAUGAAUUCAAAUUGGUGUUUCCAGAAAUUCAAAUUAGUGGUUCUAGAAACAUUCUGUACAACGGAAAGCCUGUGCAUAAAUUGUGCAUUACUGAUGGUAGUCUGUGCUGACAAGUAAUUUAGAUUAGUUAGUAUAUAAAUUAAACAUUGAGUAAAUAAAUUAUAAAAACCAAGAAAUCCUGAGGAAAAUACAUAGUAUAACCUGUCUCGUUAAUGCAACAACUGUUAAAUUUCAUUUUUUGUUGUUGGGUGGAAGGAAGUGAAUUGAGCUGAUUACUAGUGAAAGCUAAAGGAGGGUAUUUAGAAUAAAAUAAGAAAUUUUGUGUUACACUAGAUCUGUGGUUUUGCUACUUAGUGAACUAUAAACGAAGGUAUUAAGAGAAUUUGCAUUGGUAAACGAGAUUUAUGGUUUCAUAAGUAAACUAUAAACAAAGGUAGUGAAAGUUGUAAUUGGUGAAUGAGGUUUUAAUAUUUUUAAGGGUUUAACGCAGAUCUAAACUUUUAUAUUGGCUUUAACCUUUUGAAAUAAGUAAUAUAUGUACCAUAGCAGAUUUAGCAUGUUCUGUAUACUUUAAUUACCACUUGGCUUCUAUUCAAGCAGUACUUGUGCUGAUAAAGGGAAAGUGAAUAAAUUUAAAGC
This is a long non-coding RNA of Macrobrachium nipponense, 1495 nucleotides long. RefSeq lists it as uncharacterized. Lineage: Eukaryota; Metazoa; Arthropoda; Malacostraca; Decapoda; Palaemonidae. The transcript is spliced from 3 exons. The record is from RefSeq and is a predicted model, not a curated record.